AGCUUUGCCCAGUGGCAGUAUCGUAGCCAAUGAGGUUUAUCCAAAGUGCAAUUACUGCUAAUUGAAAAAAAUUAUGGUUUAAUAGUCAUGUGUUUGUGUGUCAAGUUGACAAGUGGUCAAUUGUCCUGGUUAGUUUUUGUCAAC
This is a small nuclear RNA of Peromyscus eremicus (cactus mouse), 144 nucleotides long. RefSeq annotates it as U4 spliceosomal RNA. The transcript has a single exon. NCBI's taxonomy places the organism in Eukaryota, Metazoa, Chordata, Mammalia, Rodentia, Cricetidae. The record is from RefSeq and is a predicted model, not a curated record.